GUCUAUGGCCAUAUCACCCUGAAUGCACCCAGUCUUGUCUAAUCUCAGAAGCUAGAUCAGGUUGGGCCUGGUUAGUACUUGGAUGGGAGACCACCUGGGAAUACCAGGUGCUGUAUGUA
This 119-nucleotide ribosomal RNA is filed under the name Propithecus coquereli (Coquerel's sifaka). The record is from RNAcentral. Lineage: Eukaryota; Metazoa; Chordata; Mammalia; Primates; Indriidae.